AAUCAACGCUGGCGGCGUGCCUAACACAUGCAAGUCGAACGAGAAAGUGGAGCAAUCCAUGAGUAAAGUGGCGACCGGGUGAGUAACACGUGACUAACCUACCUCCGAGUGGGGAAUAACUCCGGGAAACCGGGGCUAAUACCGCAUAACAUCGCGAGAUCAAAGCAGCAAUGCGCUUGGAGAGGGGGUCGCGGCUGAUUAGCUAGUUGGCGGGGUAAUGGCCCACCAAGGCGAAGAUCGGUAUCCGGCCUGAGAGGGCGCACGGACACACUGGAACUGAAACACGGUCCAGACUCCUACGGGAGGCAGCAGUGGGGAAUUUUGCGCAAUGGGGGAAACCCUGACGCAGCAACGCCGCGUGGAGGAUGAAGCCCUUUGGGCGUAAACUCCUUUCGACCAAGACGAUAAUGACGGUACUGGUGGAAGAAGCACCGGCUAACUCUGUGCCAGCCGCCGCAGU
Molecule: ribosomal RNA, 460 nt
Filed under: uncultured bacterium
Lineage: Bacteria
Description: bacterial SSU rRNA
Rfam family: Bacterial small subunit ribosomal RNA
Source: RNAcentral